ACGUAAUAGAUACCCUGGUAGUCCACGCCCUAAACGAUGUCUACUAGUUGUUGGUGGAGUAAAGUCCAUGAGUAAACGCAGCUAAACGCGUGAAGUAGACCGCCUGGGGAGUACGGUCGCAAGAUUAAAACUCAAAUGAAUUGACGGGGGCCCGCACAAGCGGUGGAUUAUGUGGAUUAAUUCGAUGCAACGCGAAAACCUUACCUGGCCUUGACAUGUAACGAACUUUCCAGAGAUGGAUUGGUGCUCGAAAGAGAACGUUAACACAGGUGCUGCAUGGCUGUCGUCAGCUCGUGUCGUGAGAUGUUGGGUUAAGUCCCGCAACGAGCGCAACCCUUGCCAUUAAUUGCCAUCAUUUAGUUGGGCACUUUAAUGGGACUGCCGGUGACAAACCGGAGGAAGGUGGGGAUGACGUCAAGUCCUCAUGGCCCUUAUGGCCAGGGCUUCACACGUAAUACAAUGGUCGGUACAGAGGGUUGCCAACCCGCGAGGGGAGCCAAUCCCAGAAAGCCGAUCGUAGUCCGGAUUGUAGUCUGCAACUCGAC
This 545-nucleotide ribosomal RNA is filed under the name uncultured bacterium. RNAcentral describes it as "bacterial SSU rRNA". It matches the Rfam family "Bacterial small subunit ribosomal RNA", at positions 774 to 1316 of the family's 1533-position model. The record is from RNAcentral.